GCCCGUGGCCAUGGCCUGCGCAGUGUACAGGUAGUCAAUAAAUUUUGGACAAACUUGACACCUCCUCAAUAAUAUUAGGACCUCGGAUGCAUUUUACUCUAAAAUUUAUUAUAGUUUGACCAACUUUAUUGAAAAUUUUUAGUACCAUCUACAACCAUAAAUUAGUUUUACUAAAAGUCCGACAUUACAUAUCAUAGUACAUACUUAUUUGAUAUCGUACAUAUUAAUAAGUUUUUCUAUAAACUUGAUCAAAUUAUAAGAUGUUUGACUUAUGACGAAGCUGAAACAUCUAUCAUUUAGAAAUGAUGGUAGCAGGUUUUGCCGGGCCAAACAUAAAACAAAAGGUUUGGCAUUGCUGUACAAAAAGAGAAAAAAUAUUUGGCAUCGACCCUACUAAGCCAGUGACAGCUCUCUGGACGACGAUGUUGUCCUACCGCUUGUGUUUGGCCGCCGCCAAAACCGGGUUCGAGACCGUGGUGGGGAAGGGUAGCGGAACUACUUGCGGCUGCGACUGGCUCCCCGCGGCGGUGGAAUCCGUAAGGGGCGUGUCACGGAACUCCAUGCCUCCCCGCAAAAAAAAGCUCCAUGUCAGACUUUUGGCGGUGCAAGGAGGCAUGAUGGAGCUGGGCUGAGUAGAUCAGUGACAGCGGCGGUGCGGAAGCAGCAAGACCGCGGAGCGAAAAUUUCCCUACCGCCAACUAGACUGGCGUGUUUUCAGUAGCCCGUUAAUUCGAACCCGGCCUUGACUAUAUUGAGAUUGUUGGCUCGCGAGUUUAGAUCCCAACAAAAAAAUUCGCAUGGGCCGAUUACACGGGAUCUGUUCGAGUCAGUUUUUACCAACCGAAUCCUUAUUACUAACCGUUAUUUUUUAAUCUCAGUUUUAUCUCCUGGACGUGCUGUUAUCAGGCGACGUAUCCGGUGAAAACUCUUAUUCAGUGCAAACUUGCAAACUUCCAUUCCUAGCCAUCGGAUCUACCACGUGCGGUCUAGUUGAGAGGUGGGAAUCCCUCCCACCACUUAAACGCAGUUUUGCACAAACCCCCCUGCCCAUAUUCCCCACCUUCAUCAGAGAAAGAUAGCGAUUCGCAAAAGAAAGGAAAAGGACGAACCCUCGUUCCCACCCGAUCUGCAGGAUCGUCGGCGACCCACCUGGCCACCCUCUCUCGGGACGGCACCGGCGUCGGCGCCACCCUUCUCCUCGGUCGCCCCCCUUCUCCCCGCGACGUCCUAGCUACGUCCAGGCGCGACGGCGACAACCGCGGUCUGGCGCUGUCCCCACCCUACGGCCGGGCGCGAUGGCGGCCGGCCAGCUCCUGGAUCUCGUUUGCCUGGCGGCGGCCGUGGGCGAGGUUGGUAUGGAUCAGCGACUCGAGAGGCGGAGCCUUGCGGCCGCGUGGUACUGCCCAGGCAACGGAGAACGGGCCACCUGAAUGUGUGCUGCUGUGUGUUUGUUGGGUCACUGUUAACUCAGUUUUGCCGAACCUGUUGCACACCUGAUGCACUGAAAGUUGAUGUUUUGAUGGAACAGGAUCAAGGCAAGAAAUAGUCGAUGUUUUGCUGCAACAUACUUGUUGUUUUGAUGUACCUGAAUUCUUGCUUGAAUGUGAAUGUACAGAAAUAUUUCUCUUUUGUUGUUUUGUUGUUGCUGUACAAUACUGAAGCUGCAAAAUCUAUGAGCCUAAAUUCUAAG
RNAcentral lists this long non-coding RNA (1690 nucleotides) under Brachypodium distachyon (stiff brome). RNAcentral describes it as "long non-coding RNA (BDIS_LNC003417)". The record is from RNAcentral. Lineage: Eukaryota; Viridiplantae; Streptophyta; Magnoliopsida; Poales; Poaceae.